RNAcentral lists this ribosomal RNA (260 nucleotides) under Pseudomonas sp. ISO47_OTU138. Its description in RNAcentral is "partial 16S ribosomal RNA". It matches the Rfam family "Bacterial small subunit ribosomal RNA", at positions 30 to 289 of the family's 1533-position model. RNAcentral also lists the same sequence under 2 other names. The record is from RNAcentral. Lineage: Bacteria; Pseudomonadati; Pseudomonadota; Gammaproteobacteria; Pseudomonadales; Pseudomonadaceae.
UUGAACGCUGGCGGCAGGCCUAACACAUGCAAGUCGAGCGGCAGCACGGGUACUUGUACCUGGUGGCGAGCGGCGGACGGGUGAGUAAUGCCUAGGAAUCUGCCUGGUAGUGGGGGAUAACGCUCGGAAACGGACGCUAAUACCGCAUACGUCCUACGGGAGAAAGCAGGGGACCUUCGGGCCUUGCGCUAUCAGAUGAGCCUAGGUCGGAUUAGCUAGUUGGUGAGGUAAUGGCUCACCAAGGCGACGAUCCGUAACUG